CCUACGGGAUGCAGCAGUGAGGAAUAUUGGUCAAUGGACGAGAGUCUGAACCAGCCAAGUAGCGUGAAGGAUGACUGCCCUAUGGGUUGUAAACUUCUUUUAUAUGGGAAUAAAAUGUUCCACGUGUGGGAUUUUGUAUGUACCAUAUGAAUAAGGAUCGGCUAACUCCGUGCCAGCAGCCGCGGUAAUACGGAGGAUUCGAGCGUUAUCCGGAUUUAUUGGGUUUAAAGGGAGCGUAGGUGGAUUGUUAAGUCCGUUGUGAAAGUUUGCGGCUCAACCGUAAAAGUGCAGUUGAAACUGGCAGUCUUGAGUACAGUAGAGGUGGGCGGAAUUCGUGGUGUAGCGGUGAAAUGCUUAGAUAUCACGAAGAACUCCGAUUGCGAAGGCAGUUCACUGGACUGCAACUGACACUGAGGCUCGAAAGUGUGGGUAUCAAACAGGAUUAGAUACCCGGGUAGUC
This 460-nucleotide ribosomal RNA is filed under the name uncultured bacterium. RNAcentral describes it as "partial 16S ribosomal RNA". It matches the Rfam family "Bacterial small subunit ribosomal RNA", at positions 338 to 795 of the family's 1533-position model. The record is from RNAcentral.